Nothoprocta perdicaria is the source of this 257-nucleotide long non-coding RNA. RefSeq lists it as uncharacterized. Lineage: Eukaryota; Metazoa; Chordata; Aves; Tinamiformes; Tinamidae. The transcript is spliced from 2 exons. The record is from RefSeq and is a predicted model, not a curated record.
UUCAUUCCCUUCGGUUGUUUAAAACUGUAUGGCAGUAAGCCUCAAAACAUCUCAGAAAAAAGAAUUCUUGUUUUGAAUCACCAAGAAUCGAGGCGCAGAAGUUGAUGGUCACCUGAAAUGGUCAUCUGAGGAGCUUAGUUCUCAGUUGUCUCAUGACCUCCUGUUUCCCAGGCUGUUUUCCACYGUCUCUAAGAGCAUCUCUAACAACAAUGUCACUAAAUGAACCAUUAGUCUGAUUUGUUGCAGUGUUUCCUUGC